This 1402-nucleotide ribosomal RNA is filed under the name Lacticaseibacillus rhamnosus. Its description in RNAcentral is "bacterial SSU rRNA". It matches the Rfam family "Bacterial small subunit ribosomal RNA". The record is from RNAcentral. Lineage: Bacteria; Bacillati; Bacillota; Bacilli; Lactobacillales; Lactobacillaceae.
UUCUGAAUAUUGAAAGGUGCUUGCAUCUUGAUUUAAUUUUGAACGAGUGGCGGACGGGUGAGUAACACGUGGGUAACCUGCCCUUAAGUGGGGGAUAACAUUUGGAAACAGAUGCUAAUACCGCAUAAAUCCAAGAACCGCAUGGUUCUUGGCUGAAAGAUGGCGUAAGCUAUCGCUUUUGGAUGGACCCGCGGCGUAUUAGCUAGUUGGUGAGGUAACGGCUCACCAAGGCAAUGAUACGUAGCCGAACUGAGAGGUUGAUCGGCCACAUUGGGACUGAGACACGGCCCAAACUCCUACGGGAGGCAGCAGUAGGGAAUCUUCCACAAUGGACGCAAGUCUGAUGGAGCAACGCCGCGUGAGUGAAGAAGGCUUUCGGGUCGUAAAACUCUGUUGUUGGAGAAGAAUGGUCGGCAGAGUAACUGUUGUCGGCGUGACGGUAUCCAACCAGAAAGCCACGGCUAAUUACGUGCCAGCAGCCGCGGUAAUACGUAGGUGGCAAGCGUAAUCCGGAUUUAUUGGGCGUAAAGCGAGCGCAGGCGGUUUUUUAAGUCGAUGUGAAAGCCCUCGGCUUAACCGAGGAAGUGCAUCGGAAACUGGGAAACUUGAGUGCAGAAGAGGACAGUGGAACUCCAUGUGUAGCGGUGAAAUGCGUAGAUAUAUGCAAGAACACCAGUGGCGAAGGCGGCUGUCUGGUCUGUAACUGACGCUGAGGCUCGAAAGCAUGGGUAGCGAACAGGAUUAGAUACCCUGGUAGUCCAUGCCGUAAACGAUGAAUGCUAGGUGUUGGAGGGUUUCCGCCCUUCAGUGCCGCAGCUAACGCAUUAAGCAUUUCGCCUGGGCGGUACGAGCGCAACAAUGAAACUCAAAGCGAAUUGACGGGGGCCCGAACAAGCGGUGGAGCAUGUGGUUUAAUUCGAAGCAACGCGAAGAACCUUACCAGGUCUUGACAUCUUUUGAUCACCUGAGAGAUCAGGUUUCCCCUUCGGGGGCAAAAUGACAGGUGGUGCAUGGUUGUCGUCAGCUCGUGUCGUGAGAUGUUGGGUUAAGUCCCGCAACGAGCGCAACCCUUAUGACUAGUUGCCAGCAUUUAGUUGGGCACUCUAGUAAGACUGCCGGUGACAAACCGGAGGAAGGUGGGGAUGACGUCAAAUCAUCAUGCCCCUUAUGACCUGGGCUACACACGUGCUACAAUGGAUGGUACAACGAGUUGCGAGGCCGCGAGGUCAAGCUAAUCUCUUAAAGCCAUUCUCAGUUCGGACUGUAGGCUGCAACUCGCCUACACGAAGUCGGAAUCGCUCGUAAUCGCGGAUCAGCACGCCGCGGUGAAUACGUUCCCGGGCCUUGUACACACCGCCCGUCACACCAUGAGAGUUUGUAACACCGAAUCCGGUGUAGUAGC